AGAGUUUGAUCCUGGCUCAGGAUGAACGCUGGCGGCGUGCCUAAUACAUGCAAGUCGAACGAAGCACCUCGGUGCUUAGUGGCGAACGGGUGAGUAACACGUGGGUAACCUGCCCUCAAGACGAGGAUAACCGUUGGAAACGAUGGCUAAGACUGGAUAGGAAUACGGGAGGCAUCUUCUGUAUUUUAAAAGACCUGGCAACAGGUAUGCUUGAGGAGGGGCCUGCGGCGCAUUAGUUAGUUGGUGAGGUGAUGGCUCACCAAGACGAUGAUGCGUAGCCGGACUGAGAGGUUGAACGGCCACAUUGGGACUGAGAGACGGCCCAAACUCCUACGGGAGGCAGCAGUAGGGAAUAUUGGGCAAUGGGCGAAAGCCCUGACCCAGCAACGCCGCGUGAAGGAAGAAGGUCUUCGGAUUGUAAACUUCUUUAUGAGGGACGAAGGACGUGACGGUACCUCAUGAAUAAGCCACGGCUAACUACGUGCCAGCAGCCGC
This 495-nucleotide ribosomal RNA is filed under the name uncultured bacterium. Its description in RNAcentral is "bacterial SSU rRNA". It matches the Rfam family "Bacterial small subunit ribosomal RNA", at positions 8 to 518 of the family's 1533-position model. The record is from RNAcentral.